This 250-nucleotide ribosomal RNA is filed under the name uncultured bacterium. RNAcentral's name for it is "partial 16S ribosomal RNA". It matches the Rfam family "Bacterial small subunit ribosomal RNA", at positions 70 to 339 of the family's 1533-position model. The record is from RNAcentral.
GAAGUGGAGCUUGCUCCACGGAUUAGUGGCGAACGGGUGAGGAACACGUAAGAAUCUACCUUUCGGUUGGGGAUAACUUCUGGAAACGGGAGCUAAUACCCAAUAUGCUGUGGAGUGAAAGAAUUUCGCCGAAAGACGAUCUUGCGUCUGAUUAGCUUGUUGGGGUGGUAAUGGCACACCAAGGCGACGAUCAGUAGCUGGUCUGAGAGGAUGGACAGCCACAUUGGGACUGAGACACGGCCCAGACUCC